Violaceomyces palustris is the source of this 102-nucleotide non-coding RNA. The record is from the annotation of a GenBank genome assembly. NCBI's taxonomy places the organism in Eukaryota, Fungi, Basidiomycota, Ustilaginomycetes, Violaceomycetales, Violaceomycetaceae.
GAUCCCUUGGCCAAAUGGCAAGGCGUCCGAUUCCAGUUCGAGGGCAUCACAUUAGGCCUUGGAACUUCCGGAAGAUUAUCUGUUCGAUUCAGGUAGGGAUCA